AGCUCCAAUAGCGUAUAUUAAAGUUGUUGCAGUUAAAAUGCUCGUAGUUGAAGUUAAGCAGAAGAUCCAUUUGUGAUUGUCAUUCGUGCAGUCUAUCUGGGACUUUCGCUAUGAGGUGUGUUGAUGUCCUUCACUGGGCAUUCCAAUUCGCCCAUUUUACUUUGAGAAACAUAGGGUGUUCCAAGCAUGUUUACGGCGUGUAUAUUCCAGCAUGGAAUAAAUGGCUUAGACUUCAGGUUUUGCUUUUGGUUCGCGGAACUGAAGUAAUGGGUUAAUAGGGAUAGUCGGGGGCAUUGGUAUUUAACUGUCAGAGGUGAAAUUCUUAGAUUUGUUAAGGACUAACUACUGCGAAAGCAUUUGCCAAGGAUGUCUCCA
RNAcentral lists this ribosomal RNA (375 nucleotides) under uncultured eukaryote. Its description in RNAcentral is "SSU rRNA". It matches the Rfam family "Eukaryotic small subunit ribosomal RNA", at positions 587 to 972 of the family's 1831-position model. The record is from RNAcentral.